AUGGUAUGAUGAGGACAUUUUCUAAGCAUUUUCUUAAAUCUCUCCCAACUUUUAUAAAUUGACUCCCCUAAUGGGAAAAAGAUGUGAUAUUUUUCCUAAGUUU
This is a small nucleolar RNA of Dendrobium catenatum, 103 nucleotides long. NCBI's taxonomy places the organism in Eukaryota, Viridiplantae, Streptophyta, Magnoliopsida, Asparagales, Orchidaceae. The record is from RefSeq and is a predicted model, not a curated record.